RNAcentral lists this ribosomal RNA (837 nucleotides) under Craterellus sp. RNAcentral describes it as "partial large subunit ribosomal RNA". It matches the Rfam family "Eukaryotic large subunit ribosomal RNA", at positions 106 to 918 of the family's 3401-position model. The record is from RNAcentral. Lineage: Eukaryota; Fungi; Basidiomycota; Agaricomycetes; Cantharellales; Hydnaceae.
AGCUCAGUUUUGGAAUCUGGCAGUGAUUCACUGUCCGAGUUGUAAAUUGAAGAGAAUGUCAUCCAUGCUGGACCAUGUCUAAAUUGUAAUGAUCCACAGUCCUUUGAUGGAGUAUCAGAGAGGGUAAUAAUCCCGUCUUUAACAUGGACUACCAGUGUUUCUGUGAUGCACUCUCUCAGAGUCGAGUAGUUUGGGAAUGCUGCUCUAAUGGGAGGUAAACUCCUUCUAAAGCUAAAUAUUGGCGAGAGACCGAUAGCGAACAAGUACCGUGAGGGAAAGAUGAAAAGAACUCUGGAAAGAGAGUCAAAUAGAACGUGAAAUUGCUGAAAGGGAAGCGUUUGGAGUCAGACGCAUCUUCAUGCCAUACCACUCAGUGGCAGAGACUGAGACUGGUUACCUGAAGAUGGGCCAGCACUCACGAAAACCAUUGGAAAAGGGGUCAUGGAAUGUAGCUCAGUCUUGAGUGAUUAUAGCCUUGAUUCAGAAGCAAUGUGUCUUUGUGUGAGAUUGGACAGCACGGACUUUCAGUGCUUGAUUGACUGGCAUAAUGGCUCUAAGCGACCCGUCUUGAAACACGGACCAAGGAGUCUAACAUGUAUGCGAGUAUUAGAGUGAUUGAAACUCUGAAUGCGUAAUGAAAGUGUUCUGACUGAGAAUCCUAUUGGGAGGCAUCAGUACCCCGAGUCUGUUAGUCUUUGACUAAAGGUUUGGAGGCAGAGCAUACAUGUUGGGACCCGAAAGAUGGUGAACUAUGCCUGAAUAGGGUGAAGUCAGAGGAAACUCUGAUGGAGGCCCGUAGCGAUUCUGACGUGCAAAUCGAUCGUAGAAUUUGGGUAU